GGGAGCUUAGCUCAGUUGGUUUAGAGCAUCUGCCCUACAAGCAGAGGGUCAUAGGUUCGACUCCUAUAGCUCCCACAA
RNAcentral lists this transfer RNA (78 nucleotides) under Bacteroidales bacterium. Its description in RNAcentral is "tRNA-Val". It matches the Rfam family "tRNA". Rfam says of the family: Transfer RNA (tRNA) molecules are approximately 80 nucleotides in length. Their secondary structure includes four short double-helical elements and three loops (D, anti-codon, and T loops). The record is from RNAcentral. Lineage: Bacteria; Pseudomonadati; Bacteroidota; Bacteroidia; Bacteroidales.